This is a long non-coding RNA of Lolium rigidum, 616 nucleotides long. RefSeq lists it as uncharacterized. The record is from RefSeq and is a predicted model, not a curated record. Lineage: Eukaryota; Viridiplantae; Streptophyta; Magnoliopsida; Poales; Poaceae. The transcript has 2 exons.
AAGAUUACAUCUUUGCAGUGUCGCUAGGUGCACUAUAAGGUGAGGAUGAUUUCUGUACAUAGGUUUCUUUGAUGCUCAGUCCACCAAUGAAUGAUCACCGCUUGUGUGUCGUGUUGUCCCCCACUCCGCUGCUAAUAAAACUGGAAGUGCUGCUCUGUUCCAGUCUUGCAAUUUGCAAAAACAAAGGAAGACGGAGAAGGAGAGACCGCUUCGGAGGGAGGAGCAGAAGACCCUGCACCGGGCUUCACGGUGCGCCUUUCGAGAGUGCUUAUCACCUUGGUGAUGAUUGGAUUGAAUUGGAAUCCUUGCAAGCCCCCAUGGACAGCGCAGAUGACGACUACGGAUCUCGACAGCGACGAGAAGCGGUCCUUCUCGGAGUGUCGGCGGAACCUCGGUAGGUUCAUGUACUUCGUCUUCCUUGUUUCUGUCCUUCCUAGAGUGAAGGCAGGACCUCGCUAGGUUUGUGGGUUCGUCAUCCUUGUUUCAAGCAGUCGUAUUGUACAAAAUUUGUUGUGAUGGGUGAUACUAUUAAUUUUGUUACGGCGUUGUUUCUAUAACCAUGUCAAGGUAGAACCUACGUCAUGUCUUACAAGAUAUAAAACCAGGUUUACUAUAA